AUUUUAAGGAUUUUGUGGCAUUCUUAUCUGCAUUUAGUGCUAAAGCAAGUCUGGAACAGAAAGUAGGACUUAUUUUCAAGGUAUACGACUCAGAUGGUAAUGGAAAAGUAUCUUUCAAUGAUAUAUUAGAAGUCCUUCAAGAUUUGUCAGGUUCUUUCAUGUCUGAUGAGCAAAGAGAGCAAGUGCUGUGCCAAGUUUUGAAAGAGGCAGCUUACACAAGGG
This 222-nucleotide unclassified non-coding RNA is filed under the name Hevea brasiliensis (rubber tree). Lineage: Eukaryota; Viridiplantae; Streptophyta; Magnoliopsida; Malpighiales; Euphorbiaceae. The record is from RNAcentral.